RNAcentral lists this long non-coding RNA (685 nucleotides) under Gallus gallus (chicken). RNAcentral describes it as "lncRNA (ENSGALG00010014798.1)". Lineage: Eukaryota; Metazoa; Chordata; Aves; Galliformes; Phasianidae. The record is from RNAcentral.
CCCUUACAUAAGGAUGAGGAGGGGUGGAUCUGGGCUCCACCCCUUCUGGUCACUCAGGUGCACCUGAGCUUCCUGGUAGGUGUAAAGGGCAGGGAGAACAAUUACUGAAACGUGCUUCUACAAGGCAGAGCAGAGCACAAGAGGCUAGACAGAGCAUUUCAUUGUCUGAUUACAUCUAUUGAUGGGCUUACAGUGGAUCUGAUUUUAACAGCGAGGAGCAGCCUAUUGAUCCACACUCCAGUCCUUUGAUUUCAGAUGGACCAUUCUUGGGACUGGAGCCAGUGAACCUUGAAUCAGUCACCUCUCCUGGACUCCUUCUUCUGAAGAUUCUCUCCCAUGGAAUUUACCUGAGGAUUUUCCUGAACAGGCCAAAGUCUUUUCUCCUGAAGUCCAAGGCUGUAGUCCUGCUUUUUGCCUUCUCCCUCCUUGGUGGUUCCUGAACUCCACUAUUUCAUGUUCACUGCAUUCUAGGGUGCCUCUGACUUUCACAUACAUUACCCAUUCUUCCUUGUUUAUAUGUAGGAUGUCUAUCAGAUUGUCUCCCAUUUUUGACAUCUUAAUCACUCACAUCAGGAAUCAAUAUACUCCAGAAACCAACUGGACUGUUUGUCCACAGCUGUGUUGUCCCUCCAAAAUUAGCAAGUUGUGCUUAACCUCUAGGUCAUCCAAACUGAGUUUAAAAUGG